This 478-nucleotide ribosomal RNA is filed under the name uncultured bacterium. RNAcentral's name for it is "partial 16S ribosomal RNA". It matches the Rfam family "Bacterial small subunit ribosomal RNA", at positions 28 to 507 of the family's 1533-position model. The record is from RNAcentral.
GAUGAACGCUGGCGGCGUGCUUAACACAUGCAAGUCGAACGGGAAACCUUUUAAUGAAGCUUCGGCAGAUUUAGCUGGGUUCUAGUGGCGGACGGGUGAGUAACGCUUGGGUAACCUGCCUUAUACAGGGGGAUAACAGUCAGAAAUGACUGCUAACACCGCAUAAGCGCACAGGACCGCAUGGUCCGGUGUGAAAGACUCUGGGGGGAUAGGUUGGACCGGCGUGGCAUUGGCUUGUUGGGGGGGUAACGGCUAACCAAGGCGACGACACUUAGCCGGCAAGUGAGAGUCGGCCGACACAUUGGGACUGAGCCGCAGCCCAGAAUACUACGGGAGGCAGCAGUGGGUAAUAUUGCACAAUCGGGGAAACCAUGAUGCAGCGCCGACGCGAGAAGGAAGAAGUAUCUGGGUAAGUAAACUUCUAUCAGCAGGGAAGAUAGUGACGGUACCUGAAUAAGAAGCCCCGGCUAACUACGUG